This 252-nucleotide ribosomal RNA is filed under the name uncultured Bacteroidales bacterium. Its description in RNAcentral is "partial 16S ribosomal RNA". It matches the Rfam family "Bacterial small subunit ribosomal RNA", at positions 524 to 776 of the family's 1533-position model. Lineage: Bacteria; Pseudomonadati; Bacteroidota; Bacteroidia; Bacteroidales. The record is from RNAcentral.
UACGGAGGAUUCAAGCGUUAUCCGGAUUUAUUGGGUUUAAAGGGUGCGUAGGCGGUCCGUUAAGUCAGCGGUAAAAUCGUGGAGCUCAACUCCAUCCAGCCGUUGAAACUGAUGAUCUUGAGUGGGCGAGAAGUAUGCGGAAUGCGUGGUGUAGCGGUGAAAUGCAUAGAUAUCACGCAGAACUCCGAUUGCGAAGGCAGCAUACCGGCGCCCGACUGACGCUGAGGCACGAAAGCGUGGGGAUCGAACAGG